AGAGGGGCGCCUCGCCACGCCUCUUGCCUCGCCUGGGCGCCUCCCAUGCCAUUAAUAACACUGGGCCUGUCCUUGACACCUUGUAGAUUCUUGUGGUAUUGGAUCAAGUUAAGUUUGAAGCAGCAUAACUAAAGGCACAUGACAGUCAACAGAUAACUCUAGAUCAUCAAUCAUAUAGAAGUUGGCUAAAAGCCAUCAAUGCUCAGGUUGAUAUGAAGUUUCUAAUUCUAUAGAAAGGAGUUUGCUAAUUCUUGUGGUAUUGACUUUAGUUUGAAACAACUUGAUUGAGGGCCACAUGACAGAUAAAAACCUAAUUUGCCAAGCAUUUGGAAGUUGACUAUAAAAUUGAGGUUGAUAUGCAGUUCUGUUUUAAUAGAAUUCGCUGAAUAUGGAGAUACUUUUUUCCAAUGCGUAUCAGGCAGUGGACUUCUGCUACUCUUGCAGUUCAAUCCAAUGAUACUUUUAAUCUGAAUUCACUCUUCCGUGCAAUUUCUUAUAGGCCAUUUUCAAGCAUUCUAUUAUGGUCAUUUAUUAUCUUUAUUCAUUGUGAUGAAUCCUGGGAUUGGUCUGUUGAAUGGUAUGAGGUGGAUAAAUAGUAGCCCUGGCUGCACUUAUAAUAUUCUCUGGUUUGGUAAGCCAUCCAUCCAGAUUGCAGAAUGCAAUUCUUCCCAUUUCACCAGAAGUCUAGCUAAGAAUUGUUUUUCGGGAAACAGGCCAUGAUAGCAUAACUCAAUAAAUUUAGUUAAGUUCCAAUGAUCUUAUAUUUAAUACAACUCAACUCAAACUCAACUAAGCCUUUAUCCCA
This 805-nucleotide unclassified non-coding RNA is filed under the name Hevea brasiliensis (rubber tree). The record is from RNAcentral. Lineage: Eukaryota; Viridiplantae; Streptophyta; Magnoliopsida; Malpighiales; Euphorbiaceae.